Non-coding RNA from Pelobates cultripes (western spadefoot toad), 243 nucleotides. Lineage: Eukaryota; Metazoa; Chordata; Amphibia; Anura; Pelobatidae. The record is from the annotation of a GenBank genome assembly.
UGUGAAAAAUGCAAAAAACGCCAAUUUUAGCCAGUGUUUGUGACUAAGUGGCUACUAAAAAAGACUGGACAUACCCUGUUUGCAAUACCUUGGGUUGUCUACUAUUGCAAAUGGUAUGCCAUCAUAGGGGUAAUUUUCAUUCUUGGGCUACCACAGGGUCUCAAAGGCAACGUAACCAAUCUGGCGAAUUUUAAUGUGAAAAAAAUGAAACGCAAGCCUUAUAUUUGACGCUGUAACUUUUGA